GGCUUGGUGGCAUAGCGGUAAUGCAUUCCGAAUUCCUACAUAGGUGUUUUGUUUUUGGAGGGUACGGAGUUCGAUUCUCUGUCGAGCCA
This is a non-coding RNA of Mycena latifolia, 89 nucleotides long. The record is from the annotation of a GenBank genome assembly. NCBI's taxonomy places the organism in Eukaryota, Fungi, Basidiomycota, Agaricomycetes, Agaricales, Mycenaceae.